RNAcentral lists this ribosomal RNA (508 nucleotides) under Macaca fascicularis (crab-eating macaque). RNAcentral describes it as "partial 12S ribosomal RNA". It matches the Rfam family "Bacterial small subunit ribosomal RNA", at positions 799 to 1533 of the family's 1533-position model. Lineage: Eukaryota; Metazoa; Chordata; Mammalia; Primates; Cercopithecidae. The record is from RNAcentral.
GCCCUAAACCUCAGUAGUUAGAUAACAAAACUACUCGCCAGAAUACUACGAGCAACAGCUUAAAACUCAAAGGACUUGACGGUGCUUUACAUCCCCCUAGAGGAGCCUGUUCCGUAAUCGAUAAACCCCGAUCCACCCCACCCUCUCUUGCUCAGCCUAUAUACCGCCAUCUUCAGCAAACCCUAAUGAAGGCUACAAAGUGAGCGCAAACGCCACUGCCGCGAAUACGUUAGGUCAAGGUGUAGCCCAUGAGACGGUAAAAAAUGGGCUACAUUUUCUAUUUCAGAAAACCCCACGAAAACCCUUAUGAAACUUAAGGGUCCAAGGAGGAUUUAGCAGUAAAUUAAGAAUAGAGUGCUUAAUUGAACCAGGCCAUAAAGCGCGCACACACCGCCCGUCACUCCUCUCAAAUAUAUUUAAGGAAUACCCUAACUAAACGCCCUAAUAUUUAUAUAGAGAGGAUAAGUCGUAACAUGGUAAGCGUACUGGAAGGUGCGCUUGGAUAAAU